RNAcentral lists this ribosomal RNA (962 nucleotides) under Fictibacillus nanhaiensis. RNAcentral describes it as "bacterial SSU rRNA". It matches the Rfam family "Bacterial small subunit ribosomal RNA", at positions 116 to 1064 of the family's 1533-position model. Lineage: Bacteria; Bacillati; Bacillota; Bacilli; Caryophanales; Fictibacillaceae. The record is from RNAcentral.
CGUGGGUAAUCUGCCUGUAAGACGGGGAUAACUCCGGGAAACCGGGGCUAAUACCGGAUAAUAAGAGAAGAAGCAUUUCUUCUUUUUGAAAGUCGGUUUCGGCUGACACUUACAGAUGAGCCCGCGGCGCAUUAGCUAGUUGGUGAGGUAACGGCUCACCAAGGCGACGAUGCGUAGCCGACCUGAGAGGGUGAUCGGCCACACUGGGACUGAGACACGGCCCAGACUCCUACGGGAGGCAGCAGUAGGGAAUCUUCGGCAAUGGGCGAAAGCCUGACCGAGCAACGCCGCGUGAGCGAUGAAGGCCUUCGGGUCGUAAAGCUCUGUUGUUAGAGAAGAACAAGUACGAGAGUAACUGCUCGUACCUUGACGGUACCUAACCAGAAAGCCACGGCUAACUACGUGCCAGCAGCCGCGGUAAUACGUAGGUGGCAAGCGUUAUCCGGAAUUAUUGGGCGUAAAGCGCGCGCAGGCGGUCUCUUAAGUCUGAUGUGAAAGCCCACGGCUCAACCGUGGAGGGUCAUUGGAAACUGGGAGACUUGAGUGCAGGAGAGAAAAGUGGAAUUCCACGUGUAGCGGUGAAAUGCGUAGAGAUGUGGAGGAACACCAGUGGCGAAGGCGGCUUUUUGGCCUGUAACUGACGCUGAGGCGCGAAAGCGUGGGGAGCAAACAGGAUUAGAUACCCUGGUAGUCCACGCCGUAAACGAUGAGUGCUAGGUGUUGGGGGGUUCCACCCUCAGUGCUGAAGUUAACACAUUAAGCACUCCGCCUGGGGAGUACGACCGCAAGGUUGAAACUCAAAGGAAUUGACGGGGGCCCGCACAAGCAGUGGAGCAUGUGGUUUAAUUCGAAGCAACGCGAAGAACCUUACCAGGUCUUGACAUCCUUUGACCACUCUAGAGAUAGAGCUUUCCCCUUCGGGGGACAAAGUGACAGGUGGUGCAUGGUGUCGUCAGCUCGGU